GUGAAUUCUGUGUUAAAUAAUGGAACAGUUUUCUAUCUUAUCUAUACAUUUUGUAUUCUAUACAUUUUGUUGUUGAUUUUGUUAGUGAAAAGUACGAAAAAGUGUAAAAUAAUUUUAAUAGCAUCCACGCAGAAUUAUUGCAAUAAAGUAAGUUGAUAUUUUAUGUCAGGACAUUGUUAACAUGCACAUAGUGUUUAUAUUAGCCAUGCUCUUUAGCUAAUGUGUUAUAUUUCAUAUCAAAACAUGAAAUAUCAACAUUCCUGAAUAAUAGUAACGCUAACUAGGAAUGUUGGAAAUAUUAAAAGUUAUUUAUUAAAUACAGUAGGAGUUUUUGUUAGCAUUUUGUAUACCUGGGUAUGCGUUUAACAAAUAUAAAUAGAUAUUCAAUAAUUUAUCUGCAGUUCAUAUUUACCAUUAUGCAACCUAUAAUAAAAUAAAAUACUGAUUAACACUCAUAAUUCAUGUCCAUUUCUGGUUUGUAUCAUGGUCUCACAACAGUAAAUCACCAAACUGCCAGAUUAAAAUAACUAAUCUUAACUUAUAAUUCAUCUAUAUUCAUCAAUAUUAAACCUAUAGCACCAAUCGAAAAGUUGGGACAAAUUUACUAUAGGUUUUACGCACAAAAUGAUGAAUUAUAUGACAGACAAAAUGAAAUAUACGCUAAAUUUGGUCGUGGUGGUAAUCACUAAGUGAAUACAGAAAUUAAAACUAAAUACAGACACCAGACUCAAGAAGUGAUACUAAUUUACUUAAAAUUUUGCAGAGCUUGUCAAACAAAAAUGUCAUCUAAACGAAAAGACCUUGUAAUUAAACCGAUUAUUUAUUCAGAAAUUAAGUAUCGUUAUCAGGUUUAUCUCAUCUGGGCCUUGUUUAAACAACAGAGGCAUUGUGCACUACACAUUUCUAGGCGUAUAUUAUUUAAAAAAAAAAAAUCGUUGAAAAUUAAAAACAAAUCACAUUUUAUUUAUUUAACAGGUAGAUCCUAAAAACAAAUUUCUUGAAUUAUGUAAAAUUUAUAUCUACAAAUAACCAUUCUUUUUUCAAUUUUAUUUCUUUAAGCAUUUUCAUACUUCUAAUAUUUUUUUUGCAAAUUCAUGAAAAAAGUGUUGACAACGAUUGGUAGAAGUAACGGUACAAAAAUUUGUCAUCAUUCCUUUAUUUGAAAAAAAAAACUUUUUCUACUUUUAGAUUCCAAGCGUAUCGAAGUAGCUAUCAGUAUUACAAUAGUGUUGCAACAAUGUGUGCCAAGUUUUCUGUAAGCACAAAGGUACUUU
This is a non-coding RNA of Cinara cedri, 1274 nucleotides long. The record is from the annotation of a GenBank genome assembly. Lineage: Eukaryota; Metazoa; Arthropoda; Insecta; Hemiptera; Aphididae.